UGAUUCUUUUUUUUUGUAGAAUGUUUAUUAUACCUCCUUCAACAUUUAGGGUUUCAUUACUAUUAUAAAUUCAUAAAUUCUUCUCAUGUCAGUGACCCUGAACUGGGGCACUUCUUAAAGUACAGAGUUAGGAAUAAAAUGUUUAACCCGUUUUGAAAGCUUUGUACACGUAAUAGGUGGAGACACUAAUUUGAGGGUAAAAGGCAGCCUUUGUUAUGUGUAGUAGGUUUUUAAUUAGGUUUUUAAUUAUAUUUCAUAUUUAGAAAGUAGGAUUUCCUUUUUUUUUUUUUUUUUGACAGGGAACAUAUGCUUCUAGGAUUUAUUCUGUUUCUAGAAUUUAUUAUUUCUAAGAUUUUUAUUCCACAUAUUCUCAUUUCCUGUUAGAGUUCUGUUUAGUCUUCACUUUGUAAACCCUUUUGCAUGUCCCUUUUUAUCAAACUUCAGUAGUUGAGUGUUGAGGCUGGAGAAUAGACCAACUGCUGACAAGCGUUUCCUCUUUAACACUGCAUUUUUAUACUUGGAAUAAUGUCCAUUGUAGAAUCAUACGGGGCUGCCAGCUAAAUGAGAUUUUGUUUAAACCAGAUUUUUUAAAAAUCCAGAAAAUUUAAAACUGAAAUGUAUUUUUCUUAUCUUCGUGAUCAGAUAGUUUAAGUUGAGGUUAUUUAAUGCAGUUAAAUUGUCAUGCUAAUGAAACAACUAGCUCUAAUCAAAUUAUAUAUUUUUAAAAGUGUUUUGUGAAAA
RNAcentral lists this long non-coding RNA (741 nucleotides) under Bos taurus (domestic cattle). RNAcentral describes it as "long non-coding RNA NONBTAT000021". The record is from RNAcentral. Lineage: Eukaryota; Metazoa; Chordata; Mammalia; Artiodactyla; Bovidae.